UGUAAAAGGCUGGAUCGCGGAUAGGGAGCGCGAGCGUGAAGAAACCGGCCGCCAUCUUACGGUGCUCACAACAGUCGCCGCAGCGAUCAUGGCAACUUCUUGCAAUUACGGUCGUACCAACCGUACUGGCAAGGUUACAGGGCCUAAAUUUAUACAGGUUUCGUCAUGAGGGCUACCCAGUGAAUAAUCUGUGUAGUGUGAUACGGCUGGGUGUACAGGUUACUUCACAGCUGCCUCGACAUACUCAAGAAAUGGGUGCAGAACCUGCGUAAUGCCCACAAACUUUGAUUACCACAGCACCUCCAAAAAGUAUGUGUCACAUGGAAUUUUUAACAUGGGAUUCACAGUAUAUAAUGCCUUGUAUUAACUGUUGUAGAUCUAAGCCGUCUCUACAGUACACUCUCAGAAAUUAAAACCGUGAGAACCGUGAUAAUUGUUUCAGUUAAUAGGCAUGCACAUAUAUGCUAUAAGAAGAAAAUUAUUUUGUUGAGAAUGCACUUCUCUGGCUACUGGUGUUGUUUACAUCUACUGUUGAUCACAUUCAUUUAUCACAUAUUAUAUUCUUAUAUAUAUUAUUAUAUUAACACAUAUUUGAUCACAUUAAAUUCAAAAUUCAUCAUAUAUAAGAAAAUACCAGGAGGGAAGUUGCUAUUCAUUGCUCAUUCUAACCUAAAAUUGAGUGCGGCGCACUAUGGCCUUUGUAGCUGAUGCACCAAUAAAACCCGAAUCAAAUCAAAAUAAAAUUGAGUGCUACAAAUUUAGAGAGAGUACCUGUCCAUUGUCAUUCCUAAAAUAUAUAUUGUCAUUGUAGCAAGGUCAUAAAACAAUAAAUGUAGUCUUUUGUGA
This is a long non-coding RNA of Ornithodoros turicata, 846 nucleotides long. RefSeq lists it as uncharacterized. The transcript has 3 exons. Lineage: Eukaryota; Metazoa; Arthropoda; Arachnida; Ixodida; Argasidae. The record is from RefSeq and is a predicted model, not a curated record.